This 1540-nucleotide ribosomal RNA is filed under the name Klebsiella pneumoniae. RNAcentral's name for it is "16S ribosomal RNA". It matches the Rfam family "Bacterial small subunit ribosomal RNA". The record is from RNAcentral. Lineage: Bacteria; Pseudomonadati; Pseudomonadota; Gammaproteobacteria; Enterobacterales; Enterobacteriaceae.
AAAUUGAAGAGUUUGAUCAUGGCUCAGAUUGAACGCUGGCGGCAGGCCUAACACAUGCAAGUCGAGCGGUAGCACAGAGAGCUUGCUCUCGGGUGACGAGCGGCGGACGGGUGAGUAAUGUCUGGGAAACUGCCUGAUGGAGGGGGAUAACUACUGGAAACGGUAGCUAAUACCGCAUAAUGUCUCAAGACCAAAGUGGGGGACCUUCGGGCCUCAUGCCAUCAGAUGUGCCCAGAUGGGAUUAGCUAGUAGGUGGGGUAAUGGCUCACCUAGGCGACGAUCCCUAGCUGGUCUGAGAGGAUGACCAGCCACACUGGAACUGAGACACGGUCCAGACUCCUACGGGAGGCAGCAGUGGGGAAUAUUGCACAAUGGGCGCAAGCCUGAUGCAGCCAUGCCGCGUGUGUGAAGAAGGCCUUCGGGUUGUAAAGCACUUUCAGCGGGGAGGAAGGCGGUGAGGUUAAUAACCUCACCGAUUGACGUUACCCGCAGAAGAAGCACCGGCUAACUCCGUGCCAGCAGCCGCGGUAAUACGGAGGGUGCAAGCGUUAAUCGGAAUUACUGGGCGUAAAGCGCACGCAGGCGGUCUGUCAAGUCGGAUGUGAAAUCCCCGGGCUUAACCUGGGAACUGCAUUCGAAACUGGCAGGCUAGAGUCUUGUAGAGGGGGGUAGAAUUCCAGGUGUAGCGGUGAAAUGCGUAGAGAUCUGGAGGAAUACCGGUGGCGAAGGCGGCCCCCUGGACAAAGACUGACGCUCAGGUGCGAAAGCGUGGGGAGCAAACAGGAUUAGAUACCCUGGUAGUCCACGCCGUAAACGAUGUCGAUUUGGAGGUUGUGCCCUUGAGGCGUGGCUUCCGGAGCUAACGCGUUAAAUCGACCGCCUGGGGAGUACGGCCGCAAGGUUAAAACUCAAAUGAAUUGACGGGGGCCCGCACAAGCGGUGGAGCAUGUGGUUUAAUUCGAUGCAACGCGAAGAACCUUACCUGGUCUUGACAUCCACAGAACUUAGCAGAGAUGCUUUGGUGCCUUCGGGAACUGUGAGACAGGUGCUGCAUGGCUGUCGUCAGCUCGUGUUGUGAAAUGUUGGGUUAAGUCCCGCAACGAGCGCAACCCUUAUCCUUUGUUGCCAGCGGUCCGGCCGGGAACUCAAAGGAGACUGCCAGUGAUAAACUGGAGGAAGGUGGGGAUGACGUCAAGUCAUCAUGGCCCUUACGACCAGGGCUACACACGUGCUACAAUGGCAUAUACAAAGAGAAGCGACCUCGCGAGAGCAAGCGGACCUCAUAAAGUAUGUCGUAGUCCGGAUUGGAGUCUGCAACUCGACUCCAUGAAGUCGGAAUCGCUAGUAAUCGUAGAUCAGAAUGCUACGGUGAAUACGUUCCCGGGCCUUGUACACACCGCCCGUCACACCAUGGGAGUGGGUUGCAAAAGAAGUAGGUAGCUUAACCUUCGGGAGGGCGCUUACCACUUUGUGAUUCAUGACUGGGGUGAAGUCGUAACAAGGUAACCGUAGGGGAACCUGCGGUUGGAUCACCUCCUUA